GUAGGAAGAAAGCCAUUGCUUAUUUAAGCGAUAAGACUGAAUGAUUCUCUUUCAUUUGUUCACUUUCAUUUAUUUUUCUAUGACUAAUGUGUUCAUAAGUUAGCUGAGCACUAUCCUCUUUCCAAUUAUCCCCUUUGCUGUAAUAUUAGGAGUCACCCCCUCACAGGUAGUGUAGGACUGAGAUUUGCUCUUCUACUGAGUGGCACUUGUCUUCCCUCGUCUAUAGCUCCUGCCACUUGCAGAGGUUUGACUCAGGGUCCCAUCCACUUACUUCCCAGGUGGGAAAUUCCUUUUAAGGCCAUGACUCAGGGUUUGGUAGGCUCCUUUUGAAAUCUGGCCUUUUCUGUUUUUAUUGUACCUUACAAGCGUUCUGAAAGUUACCACCAUAUAGAAGACACACUUCCCUCUGUAUAGAACUGACAUAAAUUCUCCACCUCUGUUCAUUUGAGUAGAAAUAAGAGGCAAACUAAGUUAGGCAGCUAGGUUGAUUGCCUUGAAACAAUUGAUUUUCUUAGGUUUUUAAAUUGUGGUAUUCAGAUAAAAGAGAACACAUUUCAGUGAAAUAGCCAAUAUGUACAACACCAAAAUUAUACAUCUCUUAAAUGCCUACAAAAUUGGUAAUUAUAUAUUUAAGUGAGUUUUGUAAAUUGCUUGAAAAGAUAAUUUAAAAAAGACUUCUUACUCUUCACUUUGCCAACUCUGGGGAAGACAAGGGAUUCUUAGAAAUAACAUUUUCAAGAAGAAGGCAAAAUUCCAAGGCUCAUUUCUUGAGCUUAUUUUUUGUAGAUUGAGCUGUACUAAUUUUAUAUCUGUGUCCAUCAUUCAGUUACUCAGAUAAUACAAAUUCAUUAAAAAAUCCAUUUUGGUAUGAAUUUUUGUUACUGUAUUUUAAUUUAAGUCAAAAUAUUUUGUAGGUUCAAUUUCACCUGCAAUUAUCCCACUAUUGCACUUUGCUUUGCAUGUAUAAAGUAAGCCAGUGGAAGCUUCAAAUGUAAUAGAAUUUGAUGAUGUUAAUAAAUAUAAAAAUGAAUUUGCAUGAAAAUUGUGAGAGUGAAUAAUAGGAACACCUGGCAUGGGAUAGAGCAUCCUUGCUAGUACUGACGUAAACUCAGAGUCAUCAUUAUCUCUUCUCCCCCCCUUACACAUUGGUUGUCUAGUCCUAUUCAUCAUCAAGUCCAAUUGAUUCUAACACCUUUCUCCCCAAACUUCCUGCUCCUUCCUCUGCACUUAGACACCAUCUCUCACCUCUAAUUCAGUGGCCUCUGAAGAAGUCCAGUAACUUUUAGACUCAGCCUUCUUCUAAGCCCCAUCCCCUACAUUAUCUAUUCUACACUGUCUUUCUGAAAUAUGGAUCUGAUCUUGUCACUCCCCUGGCUAAAUGCUUUAAUGCUUUCAAGCAUGAGACAUGAAAUCUUUACCAUUGCAGAAAGUGGUCCCAGUCGUCUUUGCCAUAUGGAACUUACCCAGGCCCUGUGAUCCAGCCACACUGAAUGUCCCAUUGUUCUAGUACACCCCAUGCUCUUUCAUGUCUCUCUCUGCUUGUGCGUGCUGUUUUAUUUGCCAGGAUCGCCUUUCCCCCUUUUCUACCUUGCCUCACUCCAUCUUAUCCUAAUCCUCCUUUAAGAAUCAGCUAAAAUGUCACCCAGCCUGUUUGGGGAGUUCCUUGCUCUAAUCUUUUUGGCUUCUGGAGCAUUCGCAUGUAUCUUUAUUUUGGGAUGGUUGCUUGCCUGGCAUUCAUUUCCUCCUUUCUUUGACUAACAGCUUUCAGAUGUUAGUGGAUCUGUCUCUUGUGGAUCUGUCCCUCCUCCAUUGUCAGGCUGUUGGGACUAGACUGGCCCCACACUCAACCGAAAUGAUGACUCUAAUUGACUUACACUGAACAGAGUAUCCCAUUUUCCUGGCUACAGUGAUUGACUCAAGGGUGAGUUAAGCCUGUCCCAUCAGAGUGAAUCCACAACUUUACUGUGAUUGUGACACAAAGACAUCGUUAGUCUUCUGGGUUUGGUGGUGUGAUGGUGUGAAACUUAGAUUUCUAUAACUAUCCUUCUACCAUAAAGAGAACCUUCCCGAGGAUAAAAACAAGCACUAUGAGGAGGAAGAGCUGAGAGCAAGAGUCUAGAAACAUUGGAACAUAUCAGAGAAUUUGCAGGACCUGAUGUUGCCUGUUCCUGGAAGGCCCUGGAGUUUGAGGAAUUCAAAAUGAAUUUGCAGCUGUUUUAGAUGAUCACCUGAGGCUGACUGUCUCUUGACCAGAGCUUGUUAGUCCUUGGCGGUGGACUCCUGGCAGCCUUCUCUGCUGGGCUUUCUCCACCCCAGUUCUGGCAACCACUCCCUCCUCUCUGUUGCUACUCACUCUUGGUUACCACAGAGUCCCGUAUAAUUCUUCUACACCUUUGCAAAUAAACCCGUUUGAACUGCCUAAUUUGAGUGUGCCAUCUGUUUUCUGUUGGGAACCCGAGUGAUACAAAGAUAUUUCAGAAAUAAAAAAAAUUAAACAUGAACGAUACAAAUUUAAUUUACUUUUAUUCUGCUAUGUGAAAUAAUUAUUUUUUAAGACUGGUGGAAGGAUAGAAUCCAUGUUAGCUGUGUUCACUGGAAAAUGACUAAAAAGACAAAUCAAGGAAGGGACAUGCUUAGAGAGCUUUCUUAGUUUUAUUCAAGCAGAUCUUCUUACUGCACAGCCUCAGGGGGGCCAUUCACAGGAUAAUUCAGUCUACCUUUGGGAAAGUUUGACAACCAGAACCAUUUCUGCUUAGUAGGAAGAGAAUGAGAUGAAAUCAGGUACUUUCAUUUAGGUGAAAUGAGGUUAAAACUGGUACUAAGAAGAGCCACAAAGAGAAAAAGAAUUCCCCAAACAACUCAGCUUCUUUUGGCUUUGGCUUUUGCUUCUUUAGUGUACGAGUUU
Molecule: non-coding RNA, 2905 nt
Organism: Microcebus murinus (gray mouse lemur)
Lineage: Eukaryota; Metazoa; Chordata; Mammalia; Primates; Cheirogaleidae
Source: RefSeq, a predicted model, not a curated record